RNAcentral lists this ribosomal RNA (406 nucleotides) under uncultured bacterium. RNAcentral's name for it is "partial 16S ribosomal RNA". It matches the Rfam family "Bacterial small subunit ribosomal RNA", at positions 30 to 526 of the family's 1533-position model. The record is from RNAcentral.
AUUGAACGCUGGCGGCAGGCCUAACACAUGCAAGUCGAACGAGUGGCGGACGGGUGAGUAAUGUCUGGGAAACUGUCCGUUGGAGGGGGAUAACUACUGGAAACGGUAUCUAAUACCGCAUACCAUCGGAUGUGCCCAGAUGGGAUUAGCUAGUAGGUGGGGUAACGGCUCACCUAGGCGACGAUCCCUAGCUGGUCUGAGAGGAUGACCAGCCACACUGGAACUGAGACACGGUCCAGACUCCUACGGGAGGCAGCAGUGGGGAAUAUUGCACAAUGGGCGCAAGCCUGAUGCAGCCAUGCCGCGUGUAUGAAGAAGGCCUUCGGGUUGUAAAGUACUUUCAGCGGGGAGGCGUUACUCGCAGAAGAAGCACCGGCUAACUCCGUGCCAGCAGCCGCGGUAAUUC